UGGGGAAUAUUGCACAAUGGGCGCAAGCCUGAUGCAGCCAUGCCGCGUGUGUGAAGAAGGCCUUCGGGUUGUAAAGCACUUUCAGCGGGGAGGAAGGCGAUAAGGUUAAUAACCUUGUCGAUUUACGUUACCCGCAGAAGAAGCACCGGCUAACUCCGUGCCAGCAGCCGCGGUAAUACGGAGGGUGCAAGCGUUAAUCGGAAUUACUGGGCGUAAAGCGCACGCAGGCGGUCUGUCAAGUCGGAUGUGAAAUCCCCGGGCUCAACCUGGGAACUGCAUUCGAAACUGGCAGGCUAGAGUCAUGUAGAGGGGGGUAGAAUUCCAGGUGUAGCGGUGAAAUGCGUAGAGAUCUGGAGGAAUACCGGUGGCGAAGGCGGCCCCCUGGACAAAGACUGACGCUCAGGUGCGAAAGCGUGGGGAGCAAACAGG
RNAcentral lists this ribosomal RNA (429 nucleotides) under Chloroflexota bacterium. RNAcentral describes it as "Chloroflexi bacterium partial 16S ribosomal RNA". It matches the Rfam family "Bacterial small subunit ribosomal RNA", at positions 355 to 776 of the family's 1533-position model. Lineage: Bacteria; Bacillati; Chloroflexota. The record is from RNAcentral.